Molecule: ribosomal RNA, 253 nt
Filed under: uncultured bacterium
Lineage: Bacteria
Description: partial 16S ribosomal RNA
Rfam family: Bacterial small subunit ribosomal RNA
Source: RNAcentral
UACAGAGGUCUCAAGCGUUGUUCGGAUUCAUUGGGCGUAAAGGGUGCGUAGGCGGCGCGGUAAGUCGGGUGUGAAAUCUCGGGGCUUAACUCCGAAACUGCAUUCGAUACUGCCGUGCUUGAGGACUGGAGAGGAGACUGGAAUUUACGGUGUAGCGGUGAAAUGCGUAGAUAUCGUAAGGAAGACCAGUGGCGAAGGCGGGUCUCUGGACAGUUCCUGACGCUGAUGCGCGAAAGCCAGGGGAGCGAACGGG